GUGGGGAAUAUUGGACAAUGGGCGAAAGCCUGAUCCAGCAAUGCCGCGUGAGUGAUGAAGGCCUUAGGGUUGUAAAGCUCUUUUACCAGGGAUGAUAAUGACAGUACCUGGAGAAUAAGCUCCGGCUAACUCCGUGCCAGCAGCCGCGGUAAUACGGAGGGAGCUAGCGUUGUUAGGAAUUACUGGGCGUAAAGCGCACGUAGGCGGUUACUCAAGUCAGAGGUGAAAGCCCGGGGCUCAACCCCGGAACUGCCUUUGAAACUAGGUAACUAGAAUCUUGGAGAGGUCAGUGGAAUUCCGAGUGUAGAGGUGAAAUUCGUAGAUAUUCGGAAGAACACCAGUGGCGAAGGCGACUGACUGGACAAGUAUUGACGCUGAGGUGCGAAAGCGUGGGGAGCAAACAGGAUUAGAAACCCCUGUAGUCC
RNAcentral lists this ribosomal RNA (425 nucleotides) under uncultured bacterium. Its description in RNAcentral is "partial 16S ribosomal RNA". It matches the Rfam family "Bacterial small subunit ribosomal RNA", at positions 354 to 796 of the family's 1533-position model. The record is from RNAcentral.